ACGCUUUGGGAAACUGGAGCGUUAGGGGCAAACGGGUGCGUAACACGUGGGUGACCUACCCCAGAGUGGGGAACAACGAACCGAAAGGUUCCGCAAUACCGCAUAGGCUCGGCUCUUCAUGGAGCAGAGUAAAGCUCUUUCGGGGGCGCUUUGGGAGGGGCCCGCGGCCCAUCAGGUCGUUGGUGAGGUAAUGGCUCACCAAGCCGAGGACGGGUAGCUGGUCUGAGAGGACGAUCAGCCACACUGGCACUGAGAUACGGGCCAGACGCCUACGGGAGGCAGCAUUGUGAUCUCGAUGUAAACUCGAGC
Molecule: small RNA, 309 nt
Filed under: uncultured bacterium
Lineage: Bacteria
Description: bacterial SSU rRNA
Rfam family: Bacterial small subunit ribosomal RNA
Source: RNAcentral